Long non-coding RNA from Coturnix japonica (Japanese quail), 1792 nucleotides. RefSeq lists it as uncharacterized. The record is from RefSeq and is a predicted model, not a curated record. NCBI's taxonomy places the organism in Eukaryota, Metazoa, Chordata, Aves, Galliformes, Phasianidae.
AUGCUGGAAACAAAACACCAUAGAACUUUGUUAAUAAGAGCAACUUAAGAGAAAGCAGAGUAUCUAAUUGAUCUCUACCACAGCUGGGAUGAAACAUGAAACAAAUACAGCUAAAAAACUCAUAAUUCAAGAAUUUUAACAUCCGCCCGUCCAGUUGUUCUGAAUCUAUAGCUAAAGGUCUUCCCAUAUCUAAAGGUCAACAUAAAGGUGCAGGUCAUCAUUAUCAGUGAAGUUGUUAGCUUAGUUUCAGUAAAUGGUAGCACAUAAUUCUAGGAAUCAUUAUCAGUUUUUAAACAGUUCAGAAAAUUACUUCAACAACUAUUUAGUCUUCAUUCUUUCCAAAGGAAAUACAUCACAGAUUUGUUCUUAAGUUGUCACAAAAAAUAAUAUUUAUAUUAGGUAUGAUUUAAGAGAGGUCAUAUGCUUUAUCUAAACUAAUAAACAGCAGGGAAGUAAAGUGCUUUAACUCCCACAGUCAUAAAGUCACCCAACUUUGUCAGUUAUUGACAGAUUAUGGUGUGAAGGAAGCAGGAAGGAGAGGAGAAAGGGAGGGUAGAAGGGAAAUUCCUAGUUGCUCAAAGCUACUGCCAACUCUGAUCACUGCUCUGCCCACAUGGAUGUGUUAAGCUCCAUUCUGCAAAUGCUGCUAACUGUAGUUGGUUCAGCGGUUAUCACAGCAGUAAAGGGAAUGAGGAAACAUGACUGAGAAAGUCACAUGAAUCCUCCUGUGUCACUCCCACAGCUCUGGCUGUUAAGCUUCUCUGGAAAUGUAUUUUCACCUUUUGCAAGAUAAAACUCCAAAGAGGUGGCCUUCUACAGUGAAUGGCCAUAGACAGAAAGAAUCCACAUACAAUCAGCCUGCAGGUAUUUUAAGGGCCUAGGAUCAGACCCAGUGCCUGAUGUGGUGGUUGUCAGCCCUGCCCACAGCAGAGGGUGUUGGAACCAACUCUCAAAUCUCAGUAAAAGUAACUUAGGAACAUUCCUGUUGAACUGAUAGACUGCUUUUGAGGAGAGGGAGGCAUCAUUCAGUAAGAAAAUAGGCAAAAAAAAAAAUUAUGUAGCUGAAUUGAUUUAAGUUAUAAAAGCAUUCGAUGAGUUCUGUGUUUUGGAAUGGAAGUUUUUCCAAAUCCACUCCUAUUUGUAACUACCGCUUCUCCAAGUACUUCAGAAUGCUUUUAAUGCCAACAAUAAUGAUGAGAGCUCUAGCACAGACAGACAGGAAUUUGCUGGCAUUUUAGCUGCCAUGCUGACUACUUGUAAUAGCUGGGGAAUUUGGGGGAGGAAAAGUCUUUUGCAGACUAAGCUGUAAGAAUGGUAUUAUGAUGCGAGUUAUUCUUCCAGAGCAAAUAGCAAGGCUACACUUCUGAUUCUGAGGGGAAAAUAAUGUUCUACUCACAGAUCUACCCUGUAACAGAUAAACAGCAGUUCCAGAACUGGAAACUAACUCAGGCUAACUACUCCCCUGUCCAUGGAGACGUGCAAGCCAUCUGAUAUCAGCAUCGCAUACCUUGUAGCUGCAUGUAAUGAUUUUUGCCAAAGGCAACAUACCGAAUCGAGCUUCACCCACCCAGAGGAGACACCGAGUCCGAGCACUGCAUCAGCCAUCCAGCAAAGGAAUCGAAGACGUGAGAGAUGGAAGAAACAAUUGGUCAUCUAAUCUCUCUUUCUAUUUUUGCUGGUCUUGUUGUCAGGGAGAUAUUGUAUUGAAAGGAGUGGCCUACAUACUCACUACACUUACAAGCUGCCUCGUUGUAAAAACAACAUUUAAAAAUAAAGUUUAAAAAUACUUGCA